Molecule: ribosomal RNA, 451 nt
Filed under: uncultured bacterium
Lineage: Bacteria
Description: partial 16S ribosomal RNA
Rfam family: Bacterial small subunit ribosomal RNA
Source: RNAcentral
AACGAACGCUGGCGGCAUGCCUAACACAUGCAAGUCGAACGAGUGCCUUCGGGUGCUAGUGGCGCACGGGUACGUAACGCGUGGGAAUCUGCCCUUAGGUUGGGAAUAACAGCUGGAAACGGCUUCUAAUACCGGCUGAUAUCGUGUGAUCAAACAUUUAUCAUCUGAGGAUGAGCCCUCGUUGGACUCGGUAGUUGGUGGGGUAAAGGCAUACCAAGCCGACGAUCCAUAGCUGGUCUGAGAGGAUGAGCAGCCACACUGGGACUGAGACACUGCCCUGACUCCUACGGGAGGCAGCAGUGGGGAAUAUUGGACAAUGGGCGCAAGCCUGAUCCAGCAAUGCCGCGUGAGUGAUCAAGGCCCUAGGGUUGUAAGGCUCUUUUACCCGGGAAGAUAAUGACUGUACCGGGAGAAUAAGCCCCGGCUAACUCCGUGCCAGCCGCCGCCGUAA